CUCUAUCUAUUUGAUGUCGCGGCAAGGACUUGGGAGAAUGCCAGGCAAUUUUGCGAGGACGAAAGAGCCACUCUGGUUUGUGUUGAAAAUGAACGUGAAGAGAAAUACCUUGAAGAAGAAACCCACAAUGCACAUCAAGACUCCUGGAUUGGGCUCUAUUAUGUAGGAAGAACACAAUGGAACUGGGUUAAUGGCAUGACGUUUGAAGAUAAGUUCUGGAGACCAACUUACCCAAAUAGGUUAGAAGUGAACCACUGUGUCUUCUUGAAAACACACUGUUCUACCCCAAGACUGUGCUGGGAAAAUACUCCUUGCGGGGAGCUAAAGCGAAGCAUAUGCAAGAAGAAACCGGAUAAAAGGUGGUAUUUGUGAACGCAAUUAGAUUCUGUGAUGUCUGGAAAAGAAAAACAAAAACAAAAGUAAGAAAAGUCAGCUUAACAUCACCAGGUUUCUGAGAGCUACGUGCACCAACCCCGUCAUCCAUUCUGCUUCCUCAGUGCUGGCAAAAGAAAUCUUCAUUUUGCAAUACCAAAGAUUUG
This 539-nucleotide long non-coding RNA is filed under the name Salvator merianae (Argentine black and white tegu). RNAcentral's name for it is "lncRNA (ENSSMRG00000015296.1)". The record is from RNAcentral. Lineage: Eukaryota; Metazoa; Chordata; Lepidosauria; Squamata; Teiidae.